CAAAAAAUAGCUUAAUAAAGCACCUAGCUUACAUCUAGGAGAUGUCAAACAACCCAGACUUUUUUGA
RNAcentral lists this transfer RNA (67 nucleotides) under Takydromus tachydromoides. RNAcentral's name for it is "tRNA-Val". It matches the Rfam family "tRNA". Rfam says of the family: Transfer RNA (tRNA) molecules are approximately 80 nucleotides in length. The record is from RNAcentral. Lineage: Eukaryota; Metazoa; Chordata; Lepidosauria; Squamata; Lacertidae.